UCUCCGUUGGUGAACCGGCGGAGGGAUCAUUACCGAGUUUACAACUCCCAAACCCCUAUGUGAACGUUACCAAACUGUUGCCUCGGCGGGAAAUUCAUGCCCCGGGCGCGUCGCAGCCCCGGACCAAGGCGCCCGCCGGAGGACCAACCAAAACUCUUUUGUAUGUCCCUCGCGGACUUUUAUAAUUCUGAACCAUCUCGGCGCCCCUAGCGGGCGUUUCGAAAAUGAAUCAAAACUUUCAACAACGGAUCUCUUGGUUCUG
RNAcentral lists this unclassified non-coding RNA (262 nucleotides) under plant metagenome. RNAcentral describes it as "partial contains small subunit ribosomal RNA, internal transcribed spacer 1, and 5.8S ribosomal RNA". The record is from RNAcentral.